UGGGGCGUGGCCAAGUGGUAAGGCAACGGGUUUUGGUCCCGCUAUUCGGAGGUUCGAAUCCUUCCGUCCCAGA
RNAcentral lists this transfer RNA (73 nucleotides) under Glycine max (soybean). RNAcentral describes it as "tRNA-Gln". It matches the Rfam family "tRNA". Rfam says of the family: Transfer RNA (tRNA) molecules are approximately 80 nucleotides in length. Their secondary structure includes four short double-helical elements and three loops (D, anti-codon, and T loops). The record is from RNAcentral. Lineage: Eukaryota; Viridiplantae; Streptophyta; Magnoliopsida; Fabales; Fabaceae. RNAcentral also lists the same sequence under 1 other name.